GGGAGUGCAGCCUAGUGGUCCCAGUUUUGCAAAAACUGGUGAGAAUUUUUCAAUUCCACUCCCU
This 64-nucleotide transfer RNA is filed under the name Abothrium gadi. Its description in RNAcentral is "tRNA-Cys". The record is from RNAcentral. Lineage: Eukaryota; Metazoa; Platyhelminthes; Cestoda; Bothriocephalidea; Triaenophoridae.